Molecule: ribosomal RNA, 254 nt
Filed under: uncultured bacterium
Lineage: Bacteria
Description: partial 16S ribosomal RNA
Rfam family: Bacterial small subunit ribosomal RNA
Source: RNAcentral
UACGGGGGGAGCAAGCGUUGUUCGGAUUUACUGGGCGUAAAGGGCGGGUAGGCGGCCACCGCAAGUCGACUGUGAAAUCUCCGGGCUUAACCCGGAAAGGUCAGCCGAUACUGCGGGGCUAGAGUGCAGAAGGGGCAACUGGAAUUCUCGGUGUAGCGGUGAAAUGCGUAGAUAUCGAGAGGAACACCUGCGGCGAAGGCGGGUUGCUGGGCUGACACUGACGCUGAACUGCGAAAGCUAGGGGAGCGAAAGGG